CAGGUACUCCCUCCGUCCGAAAAUACUUGUCGAAGAAAUGAAUAAAAGUGAAAGUAUCUAGAACUAAAAUACGUCUAGAUACAUCCAUUUCUCCGACGAGUAUUUCUGGACGGAGGGAGUAUUAU
This is a non-coding RNA of Triticum aestivum (bread wheat), 125 nucleotides long. The record is from Rfam. Lineage: Eukaryota; Viridiplantae; Streptophyta; Magnoliopsida; Poales; Poaceae.